CCUACGGGAGGCAGCAGUGGGGAAUAUUGGACAAUGGGCGCAAGCCUGAUCCAGCAAUGCCGCGUGAGUGAUGAAGGCCUUAGGGUCGUAAAGCUCUUUUACCAGGGAUGAUAAUGACAGUACCUGGAGAAUAAGCUCCGGCUAACUCCGUGCCAGCAGCCGCGGUAAUACGGAGGGAGCUAGCGUUGUUCGGAAUUACUGGGCGUAAAGCGUACGUAGGCGGUUAUUCAAGUCAGAGGUGAAAGCCCGGGGCUCAACCCCGGAACGGCCUUUGAAACUAGGUAGCUAGAAUCUUGGAGAGGUCAGUGGAAUUCCGAGUGUAGAGGUGAAAUUCGUAGAUAUUCGGAAGAACACCAGUGGCGAAGGCGACUGACUGGACAAGUAUUGACGCUGAGGUACGAAAGCGUGGGGAGCAAACAGGAUUAGAUACCCUGGUAGUCCACGCCGUAAACGAUGAUAACUAGCUGUUCGGGCACUUGGUGCUUGAGUGGCGCAGCUAACGCAUUAAGUUAUCCGCCUGGGGAGUACGGUCGCAAGAUUAAAACUANAGGAAUUGACGG
Molecule: ribosomal RNA, 560 nt
Filed under: uncultured bacterium
Lineage: Bacteria
Description: bacterial SSU rRNA
Rfam family: Bacterial small subunit ribosomal RNA
Source: RNAcentral